Molecule: ribosomal RNA, 88 nt
Filed under: Vibrio parahaemolyticus
Lineage: Bacteria; Pseudomonadati; Pseudomonadota; Gammaproteobacteria; Vibrionales; Vibrionaceae
Also listed under: 1 other name
Description: partial 16S ribosomal RNA
Rfam family: Bacterial small subunit ribosomal RNA (bases 1-79)
Source: RNAcentral
UACCACUUUGUGGUUCAUGACUGGGGUGAAGUCGUAACAAGGUAGCGCUAGGGGAACCUGGCGCUGGAUCACCUCCUUAAACGAUGAU